AGCAGCCGCGGUAAUUCCAGCUCCAAUAGCGUAUAUUAAAGUUGUUGCAGUUAAAAAGCUCGUAGUUGAAUUUCGGGGUUAGUAGGUUGGUCGUGCCUUUGGUAUGUACUGGUCUCACUGAUUCCUCCUUCUUGAAGAACUGUAAUGUCAUUAAUUUGGUGUUGCAGGGAAACAGGACUGUUACUUUGAAAAAAUUAGAGUGUUUAAAGCAGGCUAACGCCUGAAUACAUUAGCAUGGAAUAAUGAAAUAGGACGUUUGAUCCUAUUUUGUGGUUUCUAGGAUUGACGUAAUGAUUAAUAGGGAUAGUUGGGGGCAUUAGUACUCAAUUGUCAGAGGUGAAAUUCUUGGAUUUAUUGAAGACUGACUACUGCGAAAGCAUUUGCCAAGGAUGUUUUCAUUAAUCAAGAACGAAAGUUAGGGAUCGAAGACGAUCAGAUACCGUGUAGUCUUAACCAUAAACUAUGCCGACUAGGGAUCGGAUGAUGUUAAUUUUUAUGUACUCAUUCGGCGCCUUACGGG
Molecule: ribosomal RNA, 520 nt
Filed under: uncultured Glomus
Lineage: Eukaryota; Fungi; Glomeromycota; Glomeromycetes; Glomerales; Glomeraceae
Description: SSU rRNA
Rfam family: Eukaryotic small subunit ribosomal RNA
Source: RNAcentral